CAAACAAAAAUCCAGUGAAGUAAGUGAAAAUAUUUCUACGGAAUGGAGAAGAAUAUCAUGCUAUAAAAAGGUUAUUAUUUUUUUUAAUCUCAUUCAUAGAAAUAUAUAUAGAAAUAGCAUCAAGAUUAACAAGAUCUGAGUCUUCCUAAAAGGACUUUGCCAGAAUAUCAUAUCUACUGGACAUCUUUACCCUAUAUAAGUAGAAUAAGAGUCACUGUGGGUCUGUGGUCAUUUUUUUCUCCUACAUAUUUAAUUCCUAUAUACACCCCCUUUCUAAGAAUUUUUGCAUGGAUUUAAAGUUUCAUGAUACAUUUUAGAAAAAAAAUAGUUUUUCAAUUUUUUUACAUACAAUGCAAAAGGAACAGAUGAUACUUUGUUUAAAAACAUUCAUUACAAACAAGUGAAACAAAAAUGUAACAAAUGAAAAUACAACAAUCUUGUUCAGAACAUUUCUACAUUUUUUUUUUAAGGAGUGGGAAAUGAGGACUAUCAUCAAGCAUCUAGUGUUAGAUUUCAGUACACUCACAGGUUAGAAAAAGAUCUGAAACUAAUAAGAUAAAAACUAGAAACAAGUGCAGUUUAUUAUACUUAAGGGUGUGGAGGAAAAGGGAGAUUGGAAACAAAGGCAUGAAAGCAAACUUUUUGUUUGUUUGUUUGUUUGUUUGUUUUUUUUUUAACCAGGCAGCAGCACUACCAAGCGAACCUGCAGUUACGACAGAUAGAAAACUGAAUAUUACAGUGAUACUGUUGGCCUCGUUAUCAGCUGUAUUGAUUUUGGAAAGAUUCAAAGCUAAAAUUGGUUGAAAGCAUCCUUGUAUGGGACUAAAAGGUAAGAGAUCCUGAGAUUAUCCUAAGUUAUCUGCGUUACCCUUGUGGCAACUUCAAACUUAUCUUAACUUUGGGAUGCUGCAAAUCCCAUCUGUGGCUGGAACCCCUUGUAGAAAAGAUCUCAGGAUGAGAUCUCAUCUACAAGCUAAUGAUUUCUAUCAUUAGUUGUGUGGCAGUGCUGUGAGGAUGCAUAUAUGGGAGGUGAGUACUUGUGAGGAAAGAGGUUCUCUGUUCCCACAAGGUUGGCCUCAAAGUUAUUCUUUAGGAAAGUAAAAUGCAAAAUUGAUAAACUUAUUCUUAAACACAGACUUGAACUUAUUUCUACAGGGGAAUCCAGCUAUUCUGCUCCAUCCUGGUCCUGGCUGUUGAACCCUUAGGGCAGCUCAGUCAUAAGUUGUUUCCCAAACUGAACUGUGAACCGGGACUGUGGAUGUGACUGGCUUUUGGAUGGGGAGAAGCUAUGUUUGUAUGUACCAAGACCUGAUCUGAAAAGACUAUAUAGAAGAAUGGGCUGCAAUGUUGCAGCUGAGGUAUAGUAAUGAAGUAAAUAGCCUAGAACCUGUAAUGAACUAAAUGAACUAAUUUAACUUCAGUGAAGAGAUUACAGCAGUCUUCUUUCGUGAAACUUAAGCUAUGAAGUAAGGCACUGUGUAAUGCAAAACAAUGGUCACAGUUCUUCAAGGAAGUGCAGUGUUAAUUUUUUUCUUUAAAUCUCUCUGAAGUUAAAUUGUUAUCUAAUAUUUUAGGUGAUGUACUUCAGAUUUUACUAACAAAAACAUGUACGCACAGAAACAUACUUUAUCAUGUGUAAAACUGCUUUUUACUUUUAUACUAUGGUAUAGUAUAGGGAUGCUUCCAGUUUAGCAAGCUGGAGUCCCACUUCUAGCACUUGAGAUUAAAGCACUUGUAUCAGUGCUCAAUUAUUUCAAGACUGAACUUAAAGUAGCUUUCUGCUUAAGGACUGAGCAGAGGUCCU
This 1804-nucleotide long non-coding RNA is filed under the name Anser cygnoides (Swan goose). Its description in RNAcentral is "lncRNA (ENSACDG00005001246.1)". Lineage: Eukaryota; Metazoa; Chordata; Aves; Anseriformes; Anatidae. The record is from RNAcentral.